Molecule: long non-coding RNA, 480 nt
Filed under: Aotus nancymaae (Ma's night monkey)
Lineage: Eukaryota; Metazoa; Chordata; Mammalia; Primates; Aotidae
Description: lncRNA (ENSANAG00000038805.1)
Source: RNAcentral
GUGAAAAGGCACAGCCGCUGGCAUGAUAGAGGUUUCCUAGAAAGCAGUGAAGAGACCAUAGCCUAAUGCAAGCAGAAAAUUGGGACCAGGAAGAAUAAAGCCAUGAAAUAAUGAGUCUACUGUAUUAGAGGUGAGCCAUUUGAAGUGCUUUGCAGCUGAAGUUAAGACCAGAAAAAAAGUCAAUUCAAGGUCAGAGUUCUAGCCAUUCUUGAUGUUGCCUUGCUCUAUUUAAAAAUGAUGCAGAGAUCCUCUGACCCCUGCUUCCAGCUUCGUGGAACUUCUACUGAUGCUACUGAAUUUUUAUGUAUGUUAAAUGAAUCUUGUAUUAUUUUAGUUUUAAUUUUUGGUGUUAGGUAUAAUUUUACUAUGCAAUAUUUGGGGGACCAUAUAGAAUUUUUUUUCAACUUGAAUGUGAAUUUUAGCUCUCUACUUUAUCCUAAUCAUUUCUCUAAGGGGAAGAGGGGACUAGAUGAUUACUAA